This 609-nucleotide long non-coding RNA is filed under the name Mytilus galloprovincialis (Mediterranean mussel). The record is from RNAcentral. Lineage: Eukaryota; Metazoa; Mollusca; Bivalvia; Mytilida; Mytilidae.
UUUUUAUAAGACCGCAAAAAUUAAAAAUUUUUUGGUCGUAUAUUGGUAUGAUGUUGGCGUCGUCGUCUGCGUCAUCGUUGUCUUCGUCGUCCGAAUACUUUUAGUUUUCGCACUCUAACUUUAGUAAAAGUGAAUAGAAAUCUAUGAAAUUUUAACACAAGGUUUAUGACCACAAAAGGAAGGUUGGGAUUGAUUUUGGGAGUUUUGGUCCCAACAUUUUAGGUAUUAGGGGCCAAAAAGGGCCCAAAUAAGCAUUUUCUUGGUUUUCGCACUAUAACUUUAGUUUAAGUAAAUAGAAAUCUAUGAAAUUUUGACACAAGGUUUAUGACCACAAAAGGAAGGUUGGGAUUGAUUUUGGGAGUUGAGGUCCCAACAGUGUAGGAAUUAGGGGCCAAAAAGGGGCCCAAAUAAGCAUUAUUCUUGGUUUUCGCACCAUAACUUUAGUAUAAGUGAAUAGAAAUCUAUGAAAUUUAAACACAAGGUUUAUGACCAUAAAAGGAAGGUUUGGUUUGAUUUUGGGAGUUUUGGUCCCAACAGUUCAGGAAUAAGGGGCCCAAAGGGUCCAAAAUUGAACUUUGUUUGAUUUCAUUAAAAAUUGAAUAAUUGGGG